UCCGAGCAAUGGAUCACUCGACUCACGGGUCGAUGGAGAACGCAGCCAGCUGCAUGAUUUGGUUUUAAUUGCAGAACACUCAGACCGCUGAUUAUUCAAA
This is a non-coding RNA of Trichonephila clavipes, 100 nucleotides long. The record is from the annotation of a GenBank genome assembly. Lineage: Eukaryota; Metazoa; Arthropoda; Arachnida; Araneae; Nephilidae.